This 1288-nucleotide long non-coding RNA is filed under the name Nicotiana benthamiana. RNAcentral's name for it is "long non-coding RNA (NBEN_LNC013701)". The record is from RNAcentral. Lineage: Eukaryota; Viridiplantae; Streptophyta; Magnoliopsida; Solanales; Solanaceae.
UCAAAUCUAAGAAAAUAGUAAGAUCUUCCAAGUUGUUGGAACUGGUUCAUAUGGAUCUCUGUAGUCCAAUGAGAGCCAUGCGCAUAGGUGGUAAAAGAUAUGUCAUGGUGCUGGUUGAUGAUUUCUCUAGAUUUACCUGGGUGCUAUUGCCAGUCUAAAUCAAUUGAACAAAUUAGUAUCCAAAGACUUGGUGAUAGGGUUACCUAAUAUCACUUUUAAGGAAGACAAAGUUUGUGAGGCAUGUGCAAGGCGGGAAAUAGUUAAGGUCAUCAUUCAAACCCAAGAAAAUGGUACAUCCAAGACGUUUGAAUUGGUUCAUAUGGAUCUAUGUGGUCCAAUAAGAGCCAUGAGCAGAGGUGGUAAAAGAUAUGUUAUGGUGCUUGUUGAUGAUUAUUCUAGAUUUACCUUGGUGCUGUUUCUAACUUCUAAAGAUGAAGCAUUUGAGAUGUUCAUAGAUUUUGUUAGAAAAAUCAAGAAACAAUUAGGAAAUCAACUUGCAUCUAUUAGGUCUGACCAUGGAACUGAAUUUGAAAUGCAAAGUUUGCUGAAUUUUGUGAUGAAAAUGGAAUAUAUCAUAAUUUCUCUGCCCCUAGAACUCCUAAGCAAAAUGGGGUAGUUGAAAGGAAGAAUAUGACCCUUGAGGAUAUGGCAAGGAGUAUGUUACUUUCCAGUAAACUACCUCGUAGCUUUUGGGUAGAGGCAAUAAAUACAACAUGCUACAUAAUAAACAGGUGUAUGUCCAGACCACUGGUAGAGAAAACUCCCUAUGAGUUGCUUAUAGGGAGAAAACCAAAAUAUCCACCUAAGGGCGUUUGGUUGCAAGUGCUAUGUGCGCAAUAAUGGCAAAGAUUCCCUUGGUAAGUUUGAUACUAGAAGUGAUGAGGGAGUAUGAUUGGGAUAUUCUCCACAUAGAAAAACUUAUAAGGUAUUGAAUAAAAGAACUCUAUGUGUAGAAGAAAGUGUACAUAUUAUUUUUGAUGAAACUAACUCUUUCUGAGAGACAGGAACAUGAAGAUGAAGCCAUUUGACUAGUGAGACAGCUGACUGAAGCUACCACACAGGUUAAGGAGGCAUCCAAGGAAUAUAUAGGUGAUGGAAUAGGUCCUUUUACGCUGGGAAACCUGACAGGGGGAACAAAUUUGAGAUACAAAAUUCUCUAAAUGAACCUGUACCUGAACUUGUGCCUCUACAACAUAACAACGAAGGAGAAGCUAUCAGAAACCAGCUGGUGGGAAAAUCUCACAGGUACUUGAGUUCUCACCCCAUUGAGAACAUAAUCAAUGAUCCC